This is a long non-coding RNA of Dioscorea cayenensis subsp. rotundata (Guinea yam), 754 nucleotides long. RefSeq lists it as uncharacterized. NCBI's taxonomy places the organism in Eukaryota, Viridiplantae, Streptophyta, Magnoliopsida, Dioscoreales, Dioscoreaceae. The transcript is spliced from 3 exons. The record is from RefSeq and is a predicted model, not a curated record.
AAAUGUUAAUUCAAGGUGGAAGGAGGGAUUUGAUAUUUGGUGAAAUAGAUCAUGAGCAAUUUCUUUGGAAUUUGAUGGGGUAUCUAGGAAAAUUUGGUAGAUGGGAUUGCGUACAUGAAGUUACUAGUGUUUCUGCAUCUCAGAACCGUUUAGAGUUUCCAGGUCUGCUCUUGAUCUAUACUUUGGUUGCUGCAUCUCUCUAGUUGGUAAAACUUUAUUUCACUCUGGCCGUUGUAAAAGUGCCAUAUUCUUCUCGCACCUCUGAGUGGGUGUGGGGUGACAAUGACAGGGUGAUUAUUCUUUGCGCCUUGUGGGGAUCAAAAUCAUCUUACAUUUGGAGAUUGUGCCGUGUUCUUGAGGGCCUUUCUCUUGAUUACGGCUAAUGUUUGCAGCGUACGAGGACUGAGUUAGCAGUGACCCAUGUAUGUAACUCCUUGUCAACAUGAGUUAAAGUUUAAGUGUGAUCUCCCGAAGGAUAGGAACUGAAUUUAAAACUUAGCUUGUCACAGUUGCAAAUUUCUGGUGCUUGAAGCUUUGGUUGGGGGAUCAACCGGAAUGGUUAAAUUUUCAUGCUUUGCUUCACCUCUCCACCACCAGAAAUCAAAGAAAGCCACUCAACAACCUGAUGGAGCAACGCACAGUUACUCUAAAGUAAUUUCUCAAGAUAAAGGGCUGAAAACUUCUACCGCCUCUGUUGAUUCAAAAGCAAAGAUAGAAUUUAAGAACGCCUCUAGUAGCAGUGCAGAGCUAAUUA